UUGGGUUAAGUCCCGCAACGAGCGCAACCCUUGAUCUUAGUUGCCAGCAUUCAGUUGGGCACUCUAAGGUGACUGCCGGUGACAAACCGGAGGAAGGUGGGGAUGACGUCAAAUCAUCAUGCCCCUUAUGACCUGGGCUACACACGUGCUACAAUGGAUGGUACAAAGGGCUGCGAAACCGCGAGGUUCAGCGAAUCCCAUAAAACCAUUCUCAGUUCGGAUUGCAGGCUGCAACUCGCCUGCAUGAAGCCGGAAUCGCUAGUUAUCGCGGAUCAGCAUGCCGCNGNGCNNACNCNUNCCGGGCCUUGUACACACCGCCCCGUCACACCACGAGAGUUUG
This 340-nucleotide ribosomal RNA is filed under the name uncultured low G+C Gram-positive bacterium. Its description in RNAcentral is "partial 16S ribosomal RNA". It matches the Rfam family "Bacterial small subunit ribosomal RNA", at positions 1075 to 1414 of the family's 1533-position model. Lineage: Bacteria; Bacillati; Bacillota. The record is from RNAcentral.